ACCAUAUCUGUGGAAUGUACCCACUUUUUGGUUUUCCACCAAUGUGGGUGAAACCCCCUGGUGUUAUAUUCCCCCCUUUGGUGGAAAAUACCCACCAUCAAUGUGUAAUAAUUACACUCAUAAUAAUAAUGUAAUAAUUAAUCUAGUAAUGCCACGCCCACUGCGCAUGCGCAGUUCAGUUCCAAAUUAAUCCAGCUGCAAAUGGCUUCCUUCUCUUUGUCCUCCAUUACUGCCAGUCUACAUGUGUCUAUUUUUUGGCCGUUUAGCUCUUAGUUUUGCCUCUGUAUUCUUUGAAAUCCCCAGAAAAUUAUCUCAUUUUCGAAGCCCGCUUCCAUGUCAGCAGCUAUUUCUGUGACUCUUCCUUCAGGCUGUCCCCUUAGGCUAUGAUUUGUGUCUAGACUGAUUGAACUACCAAUAGCUGUGUUCAAAAUGGAUCGCGUCCAUACAAGACUGGCUUAUUGAUUUUGUUUUGAUGUGUAUAGGUUUUAGCUUCUUUUCAAGUGAAUUG
Molecule: long non-coding RNA, 508 nt
Organism: Amphimedon queenslandica
Lineage: Eukaryota; Metazoa; Porifera; Demospongiae; Haplosclerida; Niphatidae
Exons: 4
Source: RefSeq, a predicted model, not a curated record